CAGAGGGUAAAUCAGAAGAAUGUGUUGAACACUGCUAAGAGGUCACGUUAGACAGGUCAGAGGAAGGGCCACUGGGUUUUGCACCAUGGAGAUUGUAGGUAAUCAUGAACAGAGUCAUUCAGUAGAGGAAUGAAUUCAAGGGCAAGAUUGGAACAGGUUAAAGAAUGACUAGAAGGUAAGAAAUGGGGGCUGAGUAGAGACAAUUAUCUCAAGCAGUUUUGCGACUAGAAAAAAAAAAGAUAAAGCAACAAUAGAGGAUAUGUGACUACAAGAGAAGUUGUGGGAUUUUUGUUUGCUUGCUUGCUUUAUAAAUGAAAGAUACCAGAAUACAUUUCUCUGCUGUAGGAAGACCUUGAAUUCCAUGUUGAGAGGUUGAGAUUUUAUUUUGGAAACAUUGCAAGUUUUUAAGCUGGAAAAUGACAUGAUGAAGUCAGUGUUUUAGGAAGAUUCAUCUGAAAAGAGCUGCCCAUAAAUUGUAUAAAAUUGGAAAAGUAUACAUAGCCAUGAAAAGUGCUGGAUGUCACCCAAAGGGAGCCGACUAAUGCAACAGAAAACGGCCUUAAAGAGGCUCCCGAAUGAGGUGAAUUCUUCACCCAACCUACAAACUCGAAAGAAGCCGAUAUCCCACUUAACUCUGAGCAAGCUACUUAACACAGGCAUCAACAUUCAUGGUUCCAUGAGAUAUGCAACCUCAUGCGUUGGAUUAAGCAAAUGCCGUUCUGCAUGCCUAAUUAAGGGCAGAGAUGGUGGCCUGCUCUUUCCCUUCUUCAGCCCCAUUCCAUCUAGAGACUCUCGAUCGCCUGAGGAAAUUAUACAGACAUCCCUGUUUCUGUGCCUUGUGUACUCGAAAUCAAGCCCUAUAACCGAAUUAGCUUCACUCUGCUCAGAACUCUGCAUCUUCUGGCUUUUUAAAAACUGGCUCCCUUACUAGUCUCAAGUUUGUAUUUUCAAUUAUUAAAGAAGAGACAUUCCUUAUCAAAACCGCAGCUCCUCUCAUUAAAAAAAG
Molecule: long non-coding RNA, 1006 nt
Filed under: Capra hircus (goat)
Lineage: Eukaryota; Metazoa; Chordata; Mammalia; Artiodactyla; Bovidae
Description: lncRNA (ENSCHIG00000001544.1)
Source: RNAcentral